CCUACGGGAGGCAGCAGUGGGGAAUAUUGGACAAUGGGGGCAACCCUGAUCCAGCCAUGCCGCGUGUGUGAAGAAGGCCCUCGGGUUGUAAAGCACUUUCAGUGAGGAAGAACGCCUGGUGGUUAAUACCCAUCAGGAAAGACAUCACUCACAGAAGAAGCACCGGCUAACUCCGUGCCAGCAGCCGCGGUAAUACGGAGGGUGCGAGCGUUAAUCGGAAUUACUGGGCGUAAAGCGCGCGUAGGUGGCUUGAUAAGCCGGUUGUGAAAGCCCCGGGCUCAACCUGGGAACGGCAUCCGGAACUGUCAAGCUAGAGUGCAGGAGAGGAAGGUAGAAUUCCCGGUGUAGCGGUGAAAUGCGUAGAGAUCGGGAGGAAUACCAGUGGCGAAGGCGGCCUUCUGGACUGACACUGACACUGAGGUGCGAAAGCGUGGGUAGCAAACAGGAUUAGAUACCCCAGUAGUC
RNAcentral lists this ribosomal RNA (465 nucleotides) under Vreelandella stevensii. RNAcentral's name for it is "partial 16S ribosomal RNA". It matches the Rfam family "Bacterial small subunit ribosomal RNA", at positions 338 to 795 of the family's 1533-position model. Lineage: Bacteria; Pseudomonadati; Pseudomonadota; Gammaproteobacteria; Oceanospirillales; Halomonadaceae. The record is from RNAcentral.